Molecule: non-coding RNA, 2637 nt
Organism: Nothobranchius furzeri (turquoise killifish)
Lineage: Eukaryota; Metazoa; Chordata; Actinopteri; Cyprinodontiformes; Nothobranchiidae
Source: RefSeq, a predicted model, not a curated record
UUCUGUGAACUGUAAAAUAGAUUUUACUGCAGCUCUGAUUUUUAAUGCAUGAACUUUCACCUCUAUCAUCUGUCUAUUUGUCUGUAUGUCAGUUCUUAACUGUCUUGUCUAUUAAUCUGUCUGUCUGUCUCAGGAUUAUGGCAAGCUGGUCGGAUUACUAAUCACCCACUUUUGAACAUGUUCAAGUAUUUAACAGUGUCUAAAUUGCUGUUCUUAAACUUAAAACGCAGAAAACAGCGGCGAAAAUCCCUUCUGAACGCUGUAUUUAAUGCUGUCUUCAUGGUGUUGUAAAAAAUGUUUUUUUCUGGUCAUUGAACGCUGCAUUGAGGCAACCCCGGCUUUCCACAGGAGCCGUCAGCAGCACGUUACUGCAGCAGCACGUCAUAGGCGCUGAUAGGAACCGCUGUGGUCAACAGAACCUUUUCCACUGGAGCCGUCAGCAGCGGGAGUCGGCCGCGUCUCAGGAGCAGCAUGUCGCGGCCUUUACGCGCCGGUUCUAUUUUCUACGCGCAACGCCUCUGAAACGGGUCAAGUUCGACAUUUUUGGGGAAGGAAAGACAGGAAAUCGGACGCGGAAAUGGAGAGAAGCUCCCGAGAUUUUCAGAAUAAAGAACGUACUGCCUUCCAGUUGCUUUACUUUUAAAAAAAGUUCCUAACUGCGGCCCCGUGAGAAGUUAUCACAUAGCUAGUGGUCUCCUUUGUUUUUCAGGUCCGUAUUGGCGAUUAUAAAACGGACAGAACAUAAAACACAAACCAUGUUGUAGUUUUCUCCUGCGUGUUGUUGUGUUUACUGAUGAAGUCACUCGUGUGACUUCGUGCUCUGUCGGUGACAGCUGCUCCCCUGCUGCUUCGCGUCUCGUGGGAAGGGCCAAGCAGCAGCUUACGCGAGCAAGACGUGCUGCUGCAGUAACGUGCUGCUGACGGCUCCUGUGGAAACCCGGGGUGACGCGUCCUCAGAACCGUGCAAAAGACUUUACUUUUGACAACAGAAAACACCGCUUUUUACGGCGUUCUGUGACUUUUCUGAUGGCAUAAAAGACGCCAUUUUAUUUUUGAUUGUGCAAGCCGUUCCUAAAGAAAGUAUUACCUCACAAUAAAAGAGAUGUAUUGAGUUUGCGUCCUCAACAUGUCAUUUUAUAGGUUAACCUAUAACCUUCCUUUAGCUGCGCUGAGCAAUGUCUAGCUCAGAUGUUCAGAUGGGAAUCUUUUCUUGGGUGAUUUAGCUACAUCUGCAAUGUGCAUAACGAAUAAGAUGUCAGAUCGUCUGCAUGCAUCGGGGUAAUUUUUUCUAUUCUUUCUCUGUCAAAAUUAACGGUCAAAUACGGGAACUGUCCGGUCAACACAACACAAACCCUGCUCUUGACUGUUUCGUUUUCUUGUGAAAAUUGUUGGAAAGAGAUAAAAUUUAACUUGAUUACCACCAGAGCCAGUGCGCCGUUAUCUCCGUGACUGUAAACGAGGGAAAAACAAAUUGAUCGGAUCCUGCACGUCUUUUAACACAUUGGUCAGGAUUGACGCAGUUUGUUUUCAUUUAGUUGGUUAAAAAAAAGUCGGGUUCGGGUCGGGCCAGAGAAUCCUGAAAACCUUUUCGGACCGGGUCGGGCUGGGGCUUCACCCCCUCGGGCCGGGCCGGACACGGGCUCAGAUUUUAGGCCCGUGCAGGGCUCUAGUUCUGAUUGGUCACCCAUAAACUAAACAUUUAUUAUGGCAGAUUAAAGAUACUGGGAGUGGAAAUGUGGAAAUGAGUUGGAACUGAUUUUUCUGAUUUGGAAACUAAAGGCAAGGACCUUUUGUCGUGAUCUGUGCUGCAUUACCAUCUCUGCUGAGUGUUGUUUACAGGUGGGUGUGUCUGGAGAGCCCAGCUGCGCCAAAUCAGCUCAUCAGCGAUCAGGGGAUUUAAGGAGCAGCAGGACAUCUCACCAGUGCCAGAUGAUACUCCGUCUUGGGUUCCAGUCAUCUGUUUAUCUCCACUCUCUGCCAUAUCUCCGGAACCAUCAACAACAUUCCAGUCCUGCCGUUUGCCCCUGAUCGCCAGCUCUCCGUCACCCACCUAUCUACCUGCAGCUCCUCGGUCUCCCCAUCCAGCCAGGUCUGACUAAACCCCCCUCAAUAUACCCGGAUCUUCCAGGAAACAGUAAGCCUUUUUAUUUCUCCAUCAUCGUCUCACGUUGCUCCACACUCUGACCUCUCUUCCUCUCUCAAACCCCCACGGAUCCCUCUAGUCCUGCAGAAGCUUCGUCUACCUCUCCCAUUCAUAAUAACUCAUUUAAACUUACCUUCUGUCUCUCGGUGGUGAUUCUUCAUGUCGUGGGUCAAGAAAUUAACCUCAAACAUGACACCUUUAGUUUUUUGUAAAAUAUGCAACAAUAAAAAUAACUAAAAUACAUUUGAAAAAGUUAGCAAUCAAUGAGAAGAAUCACAUUUGAAAUUUGUAUUCCAAAUAAGUUCAAGGUAAUUCUAAUGACAUCAGGAUAAUGUACACUGGUAAUAUGAUGUGUGUGAGGGACAAUUUUACUGAUCUUUAGGGAAUACAACUUAGGUUUGUGAUAAAUUAGAAAAUUUGCUUGUUUUUAUUUUACCUAAAAUGAGCUGCUAAAUAUCAGCAGUUUUCUUGCCCUGAUCGUGUUUUGUUGUGUU